RNAcentral lists this unclassified non-coding RNA (240 nucleotides) under soil metagenome. RNAcentral describes it as "partial contains 5.8S ribosomal RNA, internal transcribed spacer 2, and large subunit ribosomal RNA". The record is from RNAcentral.
AAGACUAUAGACCUGCGGAGUACCUGCGGAGGGAUCAUUAACACAAACCGCGGUUGCGCAUGUGCACGUCGCCCCGCAAGGGGAUCCACGAUUGCUGCUGGCGCUCCGCAUUUGGAUCCAUAUCCAAAUACCCCUGUGAACUGUUAAAGUCUUUACAUUGUGUUCCAAACACCAUGUGAAUGGUCUUUGACUGAAACUUUGACGAAGCAACGAACCGGAUGCUGCUUGCAGCGACCGAAA